RNAcentral lists this unclassified non-coding RNA (391 nucleotides) under soil metagenome. Its description in RNAcentral is "partial contains 5.8S ribosomal RNA, internal transcribed spacer 2, and large subunit ribosomal RNA". The stretch from base 1 to 122 matches the Rfam family "5.8S ribosomal RNA", at positions 35 to 154 of the family's 154-position model. The record is from RNAcentral.
GAUGAAGAACGUAGCGAAAUGCGAUACUUGGUGUGAAUUGCAGAAUCCCGUGAACCAUCGAGUCUUUGAACGCAAGUUGCGCCCGAAGCCAUUAGGCCGAGGGCACGCCUGCCUGGGCGUCACACGUCGUUGCCCCCCCAUCUACUCCUUCGGGAUUGCGGGGGGCGGAUGAUGGCCUCCCGUGCGCCUCGUCGCGCGGUUGGCAUAAAUGCCAAGUCCUCGGCGACGCACGCCACGACAAUCGGUGGUUGCGAAACCUCGGUUGCCCGUCGUGUGCGGUCGUCGCGCAUCGAGGGCUCGAAAAAAUUGCCGGGCUCCGGCUCGGCUUUCAACGCGACCCCAGGUCAGGCGGGGUUACCCGCUGAAUUUAAGUAUAUCAAUAAGCGGAGGA